Molecule: ribosomal RNA, 496 nt
Filed under: uncultured bacterium
Lineage: Bacteria
Description: partial 16S ribosomal RNA
Rfam family: Bacterial small subunit ribosomal RNA
Source: RNAcentral
AUGAACGCUGGCGGCGUGCCUAAUACCUGCAAGUCGAGCGAACAGACGAGGAGCUUGCUCCUCUGACGUUAGCGGCGGACGGGUGAGUAACACGUGGAUAACCUACCUAUAAGACUGGGAUAACUUCGGGAAACCGGAGCUAAUACCGGAUAAUAUAUUGAACCGCAUGGUUCAAUAGUGAAAGACGGUUUUGCUGUCACUUAUAGAUGGAUCCGCGCCGCAUUAGCUAGUUGGUAAGGUAACGGCUUACCAAGGCGACGAUGCGUAGCCGACCUGAGAGGGUGAUCGGCCACACUGGAACUGAGACACGGUCCAGACUCCUACGGGAGGCAGCAGUAGGGAAUCUUCCGCAAUGGGCGAAAGCCUGACGGAGCAACGCCGCGUGAGUGGUGAAGGUCUUCGGAUCGUAAAACUCUGUUAUUAGGGAAGAACAAAUGUGUAAGUAACUAUGCACGUCUUGACGGUACCUAAUCAGAAAGCCACGGCUAACUACGUG